This is a long non-coding RNA of Sceloporus undulatus (fence lizard), 1352 nucleotides long. RefSeq lists it as uncharacterized. The record is from RefSeq and is a predicted model, not a curated record. The transcript is spliced from 4 exons. Lineage: Eukaryota; Metazoa; Chordata; Lepidosauria; Squamata; Phrynosomatidae.
AACACAUUGCUGCCGCCUUUUAGCAUUGGUUUGCUGAAGUGAUCGCUUCAUUCUGCACAACGAUAUGACAAGAGAAAUCAAGUGUUCCAGAAAUGUCAACCUUUUCAUCUUCUUUAAAGAUUUCCAAAGAAGAAGUAAUUCCUUCUUUGCUUCAAAAACAAUCAAACCAAGGGACGCUGCACUACAAAACAAAAGGCAGAUGCUGAGGAGAUAAACGAGCAUUGGGUUGUGGCACCUCUAAGUCUUUUUCUCCUCUGCAUGAUCAAGCCAUCCUUCGAAGUCUUUCCCACCUUGGCAACUCAUCUGAAAAGGCUGACAGGACAGAGGAUGAUGAGAGCCUUCUCUCAGAAUAAACUCCAGCGAAUUGAAGCCUUCCAUCCAUAAUUAUGAACAAACCAAGCCAGAGAGCUUCAACCAGUCAUUAAGCUGGAGGGGGAGAAGAAUCUUGCCUGUGGACAGACAAAAGGAUCCGCUGCCAACUGAUUCUCAAGUGUCUGCCGCCAGCUUCUGUUAGACAGGAUACCAGAAUAAAGGUACAACUUCCUGAUUUGGCUUCAAAUGUCUUUGUUCCUGACAGCUGGCAACUAAACGUAUUUACAGUUGUGGCACAUAAGCAAAACAAGAAUAUACUUGGAUUUAAGCCUACUAAGCACCACUGAAUCCUAAGGCUGCAAGUCAAAGCUCUUUAACUACCAGAGCAAGUUCUCUUUAACAUAAAUACAAGUCAGUCAAAGUAAAUUACUGUGGCCUAGACAUGUUAAAUACACAUGCUCUGACCCAGAACCUAAGACAACAGUAUACCUUCAGUGAGAAUAUAAACAUAGCCUUGCUGCAUUCAUUCAUUCAAAAGAACCAUCCAGUGCUGUAUCGUAUUUGCCAUAGUGGCUCUACGUUCUUGCCACCAACUGGUAUUCAGAGAUAUACUGAACUGAACAUGAAUACUCCAUAUAGCCAUUAUGGCUACCAGCCAUACCAAUCUUCCAUAAAUUUGUCUAAUCCUCCUGUAAGCGAUCAGUGUAUACAGUAUAAAGCAACCCAAGAGGGUUUUAAUCACCUUGUGGAGUUAUCUUACCCACUCUCGUUUCCAUACUACAAAGAUUGGUCAUCUUCGAUGAUACAAGUUAAGAAGUAGCAAAACUUGCUAUGCAGAUGGUGCUUUAAUGCAGACCUUGAGAAGAAAUUAAAAAGGUUGUGGUGGUCCUGGUAUUAGCAUAACAUUGGAGUUCAGACAAAUAAACACUGCAACUGUGCAUACAUUUAAAAUUCUAACUAUUCAUGAUGUCAUUUUUUAAAAAAAGAGAGAAUAUCAGCAAUUUUAUCCAGCCUUUUCAAGUCACUCAGACCUUAUGCUC